UUUAUGGAGAGUUUGAUCCUGGCUCAGGAUGAACGCUGGCGGCGUGCCUAAUACAUGCAAGUCGAGCGAACGGACGAGAAGCUUGCUUCUCUGAUGUUAGCGGCGGACGGGUGAGUAACACGUGGAUAACCUACCUAUAAGACUGGGAUAACUUCGGGAAACCGGAGCUAAUACCGGAUAAUAUUUUGAACCGCAUGGUUCAAAAGUGAAAGACGGUCUUGCUGUCACUUAUAGAUGGAUCCGCGCUGCAUUAGCUAGUUGGUAAGGUAACGGCUUACCAAGGCAACGAUGCAUAGCCGACCUGAGAGGGUGAUCGGCCACACUGGAACUGAGACACGGUCCAGACUCCUACGGGAG
This 357-nucleotide ribosomal RNA is filed under the name Staphylococcus aureus. Its description in RNAcentral is "bacterial SSU rRNA". It matches the Rfam family "Bacterial small subunit ribosomal RNA", at positions 1 to 347 of the family's 1533-position model. The record is from RNAcentral. Lineage: Bacteria; Bacillati; Bacillota; Bacilli; Caryophanales; Staphylococcaceae.